GGGAAAGCAAGAGGAGAGGAGUAAUUAAGGAUUUAGUGUGAUCCUCUUGAAACAGCUGGAGAGGCUUUAGGAGACCAGAUUACAUGCACAUUGGUUGGUAUUAUUACCCCUGGAAUCAAAAAGAAUAUGAAAAAUGAAGAGUGGGCUAACAUUUUAAAAUGAUGGGGCAAUGGGUUGCCAGAAAGGUACUUCCAGGAUGUCUUGAAACCUAUUUGGAAGAAAGUCACCAAUCAGAUGAAGGGGCUUGUGAAGUGAUAUUUGAUGGGAAUGGAAGAAAAGUACUGGAGAGGGGUGGCUGAGGAACGAGAGAUCAAGGGAUAUGCUGCUAAAACACUCAAGAAGCAAAUGGAGGUUUCUCUGUGCCUCCCAGGAGAGACGAGGAGGAGAUGCAGGGAUAAUGUUCACAGGAACAAUGUGGCAAAGCAUCUCUCUGAAGUAUUUAAUGCAAUUUGUCCUUCCAACAACUCAAUCGCUACCUCCACUGAGAAGGGAAGAGACACCUCUUAAAGAUCUGCAGCGGUGGCUCAUGAGAUGGUGGCUGCUGUCUUUUAUACUAGAACACACAGGGAGAGCAGAAGGAGCAUUCCCAAGUGGCUAGACCUAUAUAAAGGAACAGGUAAAUGUCACAAAACAAUUUUUUAUUUUCUUCUCCCUCUUCAAACUAACAAGCUCCAUCUCCCUGCUGUAAAGAAGGGUUCUGCCCUUCUGGGCCUCUGGUGAGCACAAGGCACAGUGGGUGGGAAGCAGGCAUAGUUUGGCACAAGGGGAGGCCCUUCACACCCCCUGUCAGCCCCCUCUUUUGCUGCCUCUUUGCCACUUUGCACUGUGGGAGGUCUAAAGUGGACCAAAGCUGCAGUUGUUACCUGCACAAAGAAAGGUGAGAGUCUAAAAAGAACCUGAAGAGGUAACAGUAAUUUUAAUCAAGAAAGGAAAAGUUUUUGAAAUGGGUCACUGUCUUAAAGAUGUCCAUUGGCUGUUUGCCCAGAUGUUACUUUUCCUGCCUCACAUCAUCACGGGACAGCCUCUCCUGAAAAGAAGAAUGGGAAAAAAGACAUCAGGGGGAUCCAGAUAGCCAGGGUGGCUGCCAUGGUUAUCAGAGCCAGGUGGCCAAUGUUCCAUAGUCAGUGAACUCACUGUCUUGGCCAUUGUCUGUGCAAAUUUGUGGUCUUAAUGGACCCAGGUACCUUAGACUUGUUUUAAGGGGGCACAUGCCAAGGAGAAAUUGCUGCCUUGAGAAAUGAUGCAAAAAAGAGGCAAAUAAGGGGCACAAGUGAAUGUGGCUUUGUGGGCGGGUUGGACUUGCACAGGAUAAAUUGAGCCAAGUGAUGUUAAAUGAGAGACAUCAAACAUGAGAUUUAAAAAGUUGAUAUUCUUCCUAAUUAGCCAGAGAUGCUUCUCCAGCCUUGCAGUGUAAUUCAGGCAGGAAUAUGCAAAUACAAAGACCUAGGGAGAAAUGGAAAGUUGGAGCAGCCACAGCAACAACAACUAAACCAGGUGUGCAAGGCUAAUGUGAGAAAACCUGUGGGCGGCAUCUCACUGCAGGGUGAGUGUGUGACCCCAGGAGCCUCUGAUACCAAACACCAGCAUGCUAUACCUGGCAUCAGUUCUUAGGUGACGGCAACAUUGGUGCUGUACUUUUGAAAUUGUUGGGUGCCUAUUUAAUAAAACGGCAGCUCAGCAAUGCAUCUUGGUAUUCUCACUUCGAGAGGACCUUGUAGCAUUCCUUGUAGAUCACUGUGGUCACUGUGGUAUCAGAAUCAUUCUCAUCACAGCACUCAGAGUGGUCAGGGUUGGCCCAGGAGGCGAAAUCCAUUUGCAGUCCAUGCAGUGCCUUUUGUCUUCUCAACGGGUUUGCUUGCCAAGGGCUGAGCAAGAAAGCUCUAUUCAGGGCUGUUAAAAUAGAAGCACUUUAACUGGGCGUUGGGUCACUAAGUUCUGGGGCCAAGGUUGGCAGCUCCCCACCCCUUGAUAAAGUGACAGUUAAUGACUGACUGUCCAACAAGCUCUGUCGCUGUGUUGCUAUGUACCUGGGCAGACCAAAAUGCCCAACAAAUAAGAUAGUCUUGGCAAGAGUGAGUGUACAUCUCUUUUUAAUGUGUGUUGUGGUGUGUGUGUGUGUGUGUGUGUGUGUGUGUGUGUGUGUGUGUGUGUGUGAGAGAGAGAGAGAGAGAGAGAGAGAGAGAGAGAGAGAGAGAUUAAUUCUGACUAUAGGAGUGACAAAAUACACAGGUUUUUCUAACACAUAAAAACACUAAUUUAUGCUCUCCUCGCCUGCUGCCAUUUCCUGUCAUAACCAGCCCCCCUUUUCUUUGGAGGACACAAUUGAAUCCAGUGCCAGCUCAGAUAUGACCAGCUGUGCUUCCAGCAACCACAGGUGUCUUGGUCCUCAAUGACCAAGUCAACAUGUACAUAACUCCUUUCAUCUAGGUGCUUGUGUAGUUGAAGAGCUGGGAAAAGUCUGCCUCAAGUCGUUCUGUGGAGAGGGUGCCAAGAGAAGAGAUCCUUGCCUAAGUGUGUGGUUAUAAUGUGUAGCAGGAUGAUAUUUCACAAUCUCUGACUAUGGGGAUUUUUUUUUAACCUUAUGGGAGGCUAUUCUGUUUAAUUUAUUCUACUUCUUUUUGACUCACCCUCCCUCAACAGAUCUGGAAGUGACUCUGAAAGUUAUCUUAUUUUUUUUUCUUAAAUUAAAAAUUGAAAGUUAUUGUUUAUUAUUGGGUAGGCCCUGUUCUCUUAUUUUUUUUUUUUCUGUUCUCCCAUGAGUCAGUAAAGACCCCAACCUUUGAUCAAACAGAUAAAAAAUUGACCAAGCUGCAUACUGGGAAGUUUAGUUGUUUUGAUUUACUGUAUUUAUUUUGUAAGGCUCCUUGAUAUCUGUUUUUUUAUAAUAGUCUAGGGAACCAAAAUAAUACUCCUUGAAUAAAUGCAAGCAAAAC
This is a long non-coding RNA of Ictidomys tridecemlineatus (thirteen-lined ground squirrel), 2933 nucleotides long. The record is from Ensembl. Lineage: Eukaryota; Metazoa; Chordata; Mammalia; Rodentia; Sciuridae.